Peromyscus maniculatus bairdii (prairie deer mouse) is the source of this 513-nucleotide non-coding RNA. The record is from RefSeq and is a predicted model, not a curated record. Lineage: Eukaryota; Metazoa; Chordata; Mammalia; Rodentia; Cricetidae.
GGAGAGACAGGAUGCACAUAUACAGUUAACAUCUGUUAACUACAGGAUCACAGAGGAUGGAGAAAGUACGUCUUCCACAGAGAUGAGAAAGACUCCACGGAGAGGCUACCAUCUGACCUGCAGCUUGGAAAACUGCUAGAUUUUGGAAGAUUACCAGAGAGAGGAUGGCCAGAUAGGAAGGUGUUGGGGCCUGGGGGCCUGAAGAAUUCUAUGCACAAGUAGAAAAGAGCGUCACCAACAUGAUGAUAAUCACCUGCUCUGAGGAAAGCCUACUACCACUUUGUGAGCCUCACAUAGAGAGACCCAAGGGACAAGGACCUCAGGACACCAGCCACCUGCCACUGGAGUGAGCCUCCAAGCAGAGCGCCCUGUCUUUUCAAGUUACAGCGGCCCUGUUGACAUCUUGACUGCCACUUCAAGGGAAUCUGAACUGGAACCACUUGGCUCAGCUGUUCCCAGAGUCCUGAUCCCCUGAAACUGGGGGACAUGGAAAUGUAAAGUGACUAAAUGGAA